AAUGGAAUCUAAUACGCAGUAUUCACAGAAAAAAGUCUUCAUUUAUUGGGAAAGAAUCAAUAUACUUUUAAUGUCGAAUCGGAAUUCACCGAAAUAAUGCAUUGGGUCGAACUCUUCUUUGGUGUUAAGGUGCUAGCUGUGAAUAGCCAUCGACUACCUGGAAAAGGUACAUCCCUGUCGGCGACUGCUCCAUCGCCGGACGGCAGAUCUUUUGCGGUUUUCUCGCCGAGCUCUCGGAGCUGCGGUUAG
This 249-nucleotide ribosomal RNA is filed under the name Triticum aestivum (bread wheat). Its description in RNAcentral is "partial small subunit ribosomal RNA". The record is from RNAcentral. Lineage: Eukaryota; Viridiplantae; Streptophyta; Magnoliopsida; Poales; Poaceae.